This is a long non-coding RNA of Sebastes umbrosus (honeycomb rockfish), 335 nucleotides long. RefSeq lists it as uncharacterized. Lineage: Eukaryota; Metazoa; Chordata; Actinopteri; Perciformes; Sebastidae. The transcript has 3 exons. The record is from RefSeq and is a predicted model, not a curated record.
GCCUGUUGUACCUCUGUGUCAGGGUGAGUUUGCGUGUUGUGCGGCUGACUUGGUACUGGUAGAAGCGGGGAACCAGUUCUCGGCCCACUUUGAUGACUGACCGAUGUCCAGCUGCUCCAAACUACGUCUGGGAAACCUCAGGGCAGAUUUCACCUGGACGAGCAGCGAUGGGAAGACAGAAAUAAAGGGAGGACAUAGUUAAGAGAGUACAGAUGGAGGAUGAAGGUUGGCUGCUUGUUUCCACUGACCCUGUGCCUCUCUAUGGAGCUGAGGAAGUCCAGGUCGGUCUGGUCUGAUAUCCCUCCGUGAACGAUCAGGAUCUUUCCGUCAAUCAC